CAGGAAGCCGGGCCGGGGGCAGUGGUCGGGCUGCUCCCGGGAAGGAGAGCUGUGGCCCGGGGAGCCGAAGUAACUUCUGUUGGAGAGGUGAUCAACCGGGAGAAGGUGGAUUUCGUGCGGCUGGAGUAGAUGUGUGUUGUAGGGCCGAGACCAGCAUUGCUUUGGAGGGUGUUUUUUACCUUAAGCUCAUCAUUGGGCCGCAGAACUCUGAUAUUGAAGAGCACUAAAUAUUAACAACCUCAAAGAAUGUCCAUAUGAGAAGAGGAUGCUUAGUACCACGAGAAAAAAUGUGACUGAAGGUAUUUCCUUGGCACCAAGAUCCUUAAUAUGCCUUCUUUCCAGAUUGCUGUGUUUGUGUUGCUGUUACACUUCUGCAGAAGCGAGAGAACACAACUUUCUGUAUGUUAUUUUCAUCUGAUGCAUUAAGCAAACACUGGCUUAUGAAACACUAGAUUUUAUAUGCUGCAUAAUAAAGAAUAUGAAACAGCAAUUCAUAAUGUAAGCUUCUUUAGGCAGCUUUAAAAAUCUGCUGUUUGAUUCAGUGAUCUCCAAGGAAAUUUUGAGAACUCCCUGCGCACGAACAGUUUCAAGGAGGAAGGAUGAGGAGAACACUUGCGAUACAUUCUGGCGAGGGAGCAGGUUGCUUCACUUGCCUGCUUUGGAACAAAUGGCUGCCCAUAGUCAAAAAGAGCAGGGGUUUGAAAGGUGCGGUACUGUUUAAAUAAAUACUUUUCUUGCUUCCUCUGCACAUUCUAUUUAAAGUGUUGUGGAAAGAGGUCAAAAGGUCUUUUCUUUCAGGUAUGCAGUUUUGGGUCAGGGUCUAGAU
Long non-coding RNA from Grus americana (Whooping crane), 826 nucleotides. RefSeq lists it as uncharacterized. The record is from RefSeq and is a predicted model, not a curated record. The transcript is spliced from 3 exons. NCBI's taxonomy places the organism in Eukaryota, Metazoa, Chordata, Aves, Gruiformes, Gruidae.